This 253-nucleotide ribosomal RNA is filed under the name uncultured bacterium. Its description in RNAcentral is "partial 16S ribosomal RNA". It matches the Rfam family "Bacterial small subunit ribosomal RNA", at positions 524 to 776 of the family's 1533-position model. The record is from RNAcentral.
UACGUAGGUGGCAAGCGUUGUCCGGUAUUAUUGGGCGUAAAGCGCGCGCAGGCGGUCCUUUAAGUCUGAUGUGAAAGCCCACGGCUCAACCGUGGAGGGUCAUUGGAAACUGGGGGACUUGAGUACAGAAGAGAAGAGUGGAAUUCCACGUGUAGCGGUGAAAUGCGUAGAGAUGUGGAGGAACACCAGUGGCGAAGGCGACUCUUUGGUCUGUAACUGACGCUGAGGCGCGAAAGCGUGGGGAGCAAACAGG